RNAcentral lists this ribosomal RNA (388 nucleotides) under uncultured bacterium. RNAcentral's name for it is "bacterial SSU rRNA". It matches the Rfam family "Bacterial small subunit ribosomal RNA", at positions 28 to 418 of the family's 1533-position model. The record is from RNAcentral.
GACGAACGCUGGCGGCGUGCUUAACACAUGCAAGUCGAGCGGUAAGGCCCUUUCGGGGUACGACGAGCGGCGAACGGGUGAGUAACACGUGGGUGACCUGCCCUCAGCUCUGGGAUAAGCCUGGGAAACCGGGUCUAAUACUGGAUAUGACUCCAUGACGCAUGUUGUGGGGUGGAAAGCCUUGUGCGGCUGAGGAUGGGCCCGCGGCCUAUCAGCUUGUUGGUGGGGUGAGGCCUACCAAGGCGACGACGGGUAGCCGGCCUGAGAGGGCGACCGGCCACACUGGGACUGAGACACGGCCCAGACUCCUACGGGAGGCAGCAGUGGGGAAUCUUGCGCAAUGGGCGAAAGCCUGACGCAGCGACGCCGCGUGAGGGAUGACGGCCUU